GGCUGAACGUCUGUAAGUGCGACCAUUUAGGACCAACUGGAAUUUCAAUCCAGCUGUCCCUUGGAAAUUCGCCAUAACCUCGAUCGCCAUAUCCUGGAACACCGUAAUCACCACCGUAGACUCGACCGGCAUAGACUCGACUGCCGUAACUGCUACUCAUCAGGCCACCUAGAACAAAAUAACGGGAGGAAUCCGCAAAUGCCGCCAUUCGCCGGUUGACGAAGAUUUGGUGAUGAAAUAUUUUUCAAGUGACAGUUUCCAUCACGCCAACUGAACGCGUUGCAUUGGAAAUUAGCGAAACAGAUGCUGCUGCAAUCCUUUUCAAAACUUGUUUGGUUGCUGAUGUCAUUUGCAGGAAAAUCACAGUUUGGGAAGACUUUGACAGUACUUUCAUACAGGGGAUAACCUUCCAUUUGAUUCUGCCGUUGUCACCAGGUCUUCCUUCCUGUAAUUCAUCUUUCCGGCAGAACCGCCAGAAAUCAGCGCUGGUACAACAAACAAAACAUUGAUGAUGGAAACUAACAUCAUCUUCAGAAUUGCAGUUUUUCUAUGUACUUGUGGUAAAAGGCUAAAAGCUGAGGCUGAAAAUUUGAAGUGAUUCACGCAACCUUCUGAUCGACUCACCGAGAAGACUACGACUAACAUCCACUGAGAAACUGCGCAAGUGAUAUUGUCUCUUCUAAAUUAAAAAGACGCCAUUGUCAGGACGACUAAAGUGAGUGCACUCUAAAUUGGCAACGCAGAUUCCUCCGCAUUCUUCUCCACUACUUUCUAUUUGACCAAUAUUAUUCCCUGGAAAGUCGCAAUUGAGAUUCCAUUUGACACCGCCUUCGCCGUUAUUGAAUUGUCCGCCCAAGUUGUUGGUGUUCGUUACUUGCACAGUCCCACCUCCACUAAUGCCGUUUCCCGGUCCGUUUGCAACACCGGAAGCCAGAGAAGUACCGCCUAUCUGACUGAAGCCUCCACUGUUGCUGAUGAUAAAAAUACCAGGGAAAUCCUCGUCAAUUGGAGAAGAAUCGUUGUUUGAUUCGCUCGUCAAAUUAUUUGUCAACGAGGUUGUGGCAUUUUCAACCAGAUCACCGUCUCCGCUCUC
Molecule: long non-coding RNA, 1093 nt
Organism: Daphnia pulicaria
Lineage: Eukaryota; Metazoa; Arthropoda; Branchiopoda; Diplostraca; Daphniidae
Exons: 5
Source: RefSeq, a predicted model, not a curated record